This 301-nucleotide ribosomal RNA is filed under the name uncultured bacterium. Its description in RNAcentral is "partial 16S ribosomal RNA". It matches the Rfam family "Bacterial small subunit ribosomal RNA", at positions 509 to 807 of the family's 1533-position model. The record is from RNAcentral.
CAGCAGCCGCGGGAAUACGAAGGGGGCUAGCGUUGCUCGGAAUUACUGGGCGUAAAGGGAGCGUAGGCGGAUCGUUUAGUCAGGGGUGAAAUCCCGGGGCUCAACCUCGGAACUGCCUUUGAUACUGGCGAUCUUGAGUAUGGGAGAGGUGUGUGGAACUCCGAGUGUAGAGGUGAAAUUCGCAGAUAUUCGGAAGAACACCAGUGGCGAAGGCGACUCUCUGGUCUGUAACUGACGCUGAGGAGCGGAAGCGUGGGGAGCGAACAGGAUUAGAUACCCCCGUAGUCCCUGUCUCUUAUAC